GUGCUCGCUUUGGCAGCACAUAUACUAAAAUUGGAAUGAUACAGGGAAGAUUAGCAUGACCUCUGUGCAAGGAUGACACACAAAUUCAUGAAGCGUUCCAUAUUUGA
This 107-nucleotide small nuclear RNA is filed under the name Aotus nancymaae (Ma's night monkey). Lineage: Eukaryota; Metazoa; Chordata; Mammalia; Primates; Aotidae. The record is from RNAcentral.